GGGGGGCAGAUUUUGACUUCACAACUGGUGACAUGGACACAAUCAGGACAUGGUGGUGCCUGUUGCUCCUGUCUGGUCAUUCAGUUGUCAGGUUCGCACAGAAAAGGAAAUAUGAAGAUCCCAUCAUAAUAGCAGAUAAGGAUAAGGAGGAGGCAAAGAGGCCCAGGACAAUCCCUCCUCAACAGUCGGAACCUGUUGACCUGACCAAAGAGGGGAUUCUGGAGGGCAUCAAUGUUUCUCUAAAAUAAACAUGUUACACUCUU
Long non-coding RNA from Perca fluviatilis (European perch), 263 nucleotides. RefSeq lists it as uncharacterized. The transcript is spliced from 5 exons. Lineage: Eukaryota; Metazoa; Chordata; Actinopteri; Perciformes; Percidae. The record is from RefSeq and is a predicted model, not a curated record.